This 659-nucleotide unclassified non-coding RNA is filed under the name Hevea brasiliensis (rubber tree). Lineage: Eukaryota; Viridiplantae; Streptophyta; Magnoliopsida; Malpighiales; Euphorbiaceae. The record is from RNAcentral.
AAGAAGUGUUGUUCUUAUUGGGAUUAGUGGCAAAAAAAGUGAUUAGAGGAGGUAAUGCAAUUGCUGAUGGUCCAGUUGAUGAUGCAAAAGUUAUGACAUUAAUGGAAGCUCUAAGUGAAGGAGGAUUUGGUCAUUUGGAAGAGACAAAUCCAAGGGAAGGUGUUGUAGGAGAAGAAUCUUGCUUUUCAUUUUCGAUGACUCAUGAGGAGUAUGCCAAAAUGUUUGGCCCCACUACUGGAGACAGAAUACGUCUGGGGGACACUGACCUGUUUGCUGAAAUUGAGAAAGACUAUGGUAUCUUUGGUGAUGAGUGCGUGUUUGGGGGUGGAAAAGUUCUAAGAGAUGGAAUGGGUCAGGCAUGUGGAUAUGCUCCAGCAGAUUGUUUGGAUACUGUUAUAACAAAUGCUGUAGUGAUUGACUAUACAGGAAUUUUCAAGUGUGAUAUUGGAAUUAAAGAUGGUCAUAUUGUUUCCCUUUGUAAGGCAGGUAACCCAGAUGUGAUGGAUAGUAAUGCGAUAAUUGGGGUUAACACUGAGGUUAUUGCAGGUGAAGGAAUGAUUGUAACAGCAGGAGCUAUAGAUUGUCAUGUGCACUUUAUAUGCCCUCAACUGGCAUACGAGGCAAUAUCAAGUGGAAUCACUACAAUGGUGGGAGGUGGU